AGGCAGCAGUGGGGGAAUAUUGCACAAUGGGCGCAAGCCUGAUGCAGCCAUGCCGCGUGUGUGAAGAAGGCCUUCGGGUUGUAAAGCACUUUCAGUCGUGAGGAAGGCGGAGUCGUUAAUAGCGGCCUCGUUUGACGUUAGCGACAGAAGAAGCACCGGCUAACUCCGUGCCAGCAGCCGCGGUAAUACGGAGGGUGCGAGCGUUAAUCGGAAUUACUGGGCGUAAAGCGCAUGCAGGUGGUUUGUUAAGUCAGAUGUGAAAGCCCGGGGCUCAACCUCGGAAUAGCAUUUGAAAACUGGCAGACUAGAGUACUGUAGAGGGGGUAGAAUUUCAGGUGUAGCGGUGAAAUGCGUAGAGAUCUGAAGGAAUACCGGUGGCGAAGGCGGCCCCCUGGACAGAUACUGACACUCAGAUGCGAAAGCGUGGGGAGCAAACAGGAUUAGAUACCCUGGUAG
Molecule: ribosomal RNA, 456 nt
Filed under: uncultured bacterium
Lineage: Bacteria
Description: bacterial SSU rRNA
Rfam family: Bacterial small subunit ribosomal RNA
Source: RNAcentral